UACGGAGGGGGCUAGCGUUGUCCGAAGUUACUGGGCGUAAAGCGCGCGUAGGCGGGUUGGUAAGUCCGCUGUGAAAGCCCGGAGCUCAACUCCGGAGGGUCGGUGGAUACUGCCAGUCUUGAAGGUGCUAGGGGGAGAUGGAAUUACCGGUGUAGCGGUGAAAUGCGUAGAUAUCGGUAGGAACACCAGUGGCGAAGGCGACUUACUGGACACAUAUUGACGCUGAGGUGCGAAAGCGUGGGGAGCAAACAGG
Molecule: ribosomal RNA, 253 nt
Filed under: uncultured prokaryote
Description: partial 16S ribosomal RNA
Rfam family: Bacterial small subunit ribosomal RNA
Source: RNAcentral